AUGGAAAAUGAAAGAGGUCUGUGGCAGGAUGUUUUGGAUAGAAAAUAUAGAAAAGGGAGAUGUUUAGCUUUAGUAAGCAAGAAGCCUGGGGAUUCCCAAUUUUGGGCUAGUUUGUUGAAGAUCAAGGAAAUAUUCUAUAGAUUUGUUAAGAAAAAAGUAGGGGAUGGGAGAAAUACUAGGUUCUGGGAAGAUACCUGGGUGGAUGAUAAACCUUUGAAAGAGGCUUACCCUAGGCUGUAUGAUAUAUGCUUUGACCACAACAUUACUGUGGAAGAGGCUAUACAGAAAGGGUGGGGGGGUUCAAAUUUAGAAGAACAUUGCAUGGGGAAACUUUAG
Molecule: ribosomal RNA, 336 nt
Filed under: Triticum aestivum (bread wheat)
Lineage: Eukaryota; Viridiplantae; Streptophyta; Magnoliopsida; Poales; Poaceae
Description: partial small subunit ribosomal RNA
Source: RNAcentral